This 453-nucleotide ribosomal RNA is filed under the name uncultured Porphyromonadaceae bacterium. RNAcentral describes it as "partial 16S ribosomal RNA". It matches the Rfam family "Bacterial small subunit ribosomal RNA", at positions 341 to 792 of the family's 1533-position model. Lineage: Bacteria; Pseudomonadati; Bacteroidota; Bacteroidia; Bacteroidales; Porphyromonadaceae. The record is from RNAcentral.
ACGGGAGGCAGCAGUGAGGAAUAUUGGUCAAUGGGCGAGAGCCUGAACCAGCUAAGUCGCGUGAAGGAAGACGGUUCUAUGGAUUGUAAACUUCUUUUGUCCGAGGGUAAAGUGAGAGAUGCGUCUCUUAUUGCAAGUAUCGGACGAAUAAGCAUCGGCUAACUCCGUGCCAGCAGCCGCGGUAAUACGGAGGAUGCGAGCGUUAUCCGGAUUUAUUGGGUUUAAAGGGUGCGUAGGCGGAUGAUUAAGUCUGUGGUGAAAGCGGGCGGCUCAACCGUACCGAGCCAUGGAAACUGGUUGUCUUGAGUGUAAACGAGGUAGGCGGAAUGUGACAUGUAGCGGUGAAAUGCUUAGAUAUGUCACAGAACUCCGAUUGCGAAGGCAGCUUACCAGCAUACAACUGACGCUGAGGCACGAAAGCGUGGGUAUCAAACAGGAUUAGAUACCCUGGUA